This 84-nucleotide transfer RNA is filed under the name Candidatus Woesearchaeota archaeon. RNAcentral's name for it is "tRNA-Leu". It matches the Rfam family "tRNA". From Rfam's summary of the family: Transfer RNA (tRNA) molecules are approximately 80 nucleotides in length. Their secondary structure includes four short double-helical elements and three loops (D, anti-codon, and T loops). The record is from RNAcentral. Lineage: Archaea; Nanobdellati; Candidatus Woesearchaeota. RNAcentral also lists the same sequence under 2 other names.
GCACGAGUUCCAGAGCGGUCAAAUGGGAUGGACUCAAGAUCCAUUGGCUUAGUGCCUUCGCAGGUUCGAAUCCUGCCUCGUGCA